This is a long non-coding RNA of Medicago truncatula (barrel medic), 823 nucleotides long. RefSeq lists it as uncharacterized. The transcript has 2 exons. The record is from RefSeq and is a predicted model, not a curated record. NCBI's taxonomy places the organism in Eukaryota, Viridiplantae, Streptophyta, Magnoliopsida, Fabales, Fabaceae.
AUUACACUGACAUCUUUUGUGCUAUACAAUACACAACCUUCAACUACAUCAAACUUUUACUUCAUUUUUUUCCAUUUCCACCAACAAACAUAACAAUGGAACAAGUAAGAUCUAUGCUCCAAAGAGAGCCACUUGAAUAUUUCUCGUUGUGAAGGUUGCAGAGCAGAUGAAUCAUGAGAUCGAACCAGGUUUUGUGAAGGGAAAUUUAGCUAAUCUAUCAGCUUUAUGGUAGCUUCUCAAUAAAGAAAACACAGGUCACAUUUUAACUUUUAACAAAAGCUUGGUUAACCCACUGUUAACUCAUGGUUGGACUGAGUUUAAGGAUUUUAAUGAUCUUCCUGAAAAUGUUGAAAUUGUUUUUGGUUACUACGAGAAUAAUAUGUUCUCGGUAUAUAUGUUCAAAACAAUAUAUACACAUGAUGACUUACCAACAUGGCAUAGUCGCUGCACAAUCAUCAAUCGAACUGCAUAUUUCGAUUCUCUACUUACUGAAGAUGACUUUCUCAGCCCAAUGAAGGUUUUUCUUCUUCUUUACUAUUUUCACUUCUUUAUAAUGUUACCAUUCCUUUGUUAUUUUUCAUAUAUCCGAUUUAUAUGUUUUAUACAACAAGUUGAUGAAGACUUUGGAAUGUACCUCAAGCAAUAUGAUUUCGUAGAUGUAAAACUUUGUGUUGAUAAUGGCAAUGAAGAGAAAUUUAAGGUGUAUUUCCUGAAUGAUGCAAAAUUGACAACACAGUUUGGAAUCAUGUGGGAUCAGUUCUGCAAAAACAGCAACUUCAGAAUUGACCAAACAAUAUGCUUCAAGUUGAUGAUUUCAGACAAA